AAUCAACGCUGGCGGCGUGCCUAACACAUGCAAGUCGAACGCGAAAGCCCCGCAAGGGGUCAGUAGAGUGGCAAACGGGUGAGUAACACGUGGGUGACCUGCCUUCGAGUGGGGGAUAACGUCCCGAAAGGGACGCUAAUACCGCAUGACAUCCUGCUUUUGAAAAAGCGGAGAUCAAAGCUGGGGAUCGCAAGACCUAGCGCUUGAAGAGGGGCCCGCGCCUGAUUAGCUAGUUGGUGAGGUAACGGCUCACCAAGGCGACGAUCAGUAUCCGGCCUGAGAGGGGGGACGACACACUGGGACUGAGACACGGCCCAGACUCCUACGGGAGGCAGCAGUGGGGAAUUGUUCGCAAUGGGCGCAAGCCUGACGACGCAACGCCGCGUGGAGGACGAAGAUCUUCGGGUCGUAAACUCCUGUCGAGCGGGACGAACGCUUCGCGGAUGAAUAAGCCGCGGAAUUGACGGUACCGCUAAAGGAAGCCCCGGCUAACUCCGUG
RNAcentral lists this ribosomal RNA (499 nucleotides) under uncultured bacterium. RNAcentral describes it as "partial 16S ribosomal RNA". It matches the Rfam family "Bacterial small subunit ribosomal RNA", at positions 29 to 507 of the family's 1533-position model. The record is from RNAcentral.